Molecule: long non-coding RNA, 228 nt
Filed under: Elaeis guineensis (African oil palm)
Lineage: Eukaryota; Viridiplantae; Streptophyta; Magnoliopsida; Arecales; Arecaceae
Description: long non-coding RNA (EGUI_LNC009219)
Source: RNAcentral
GUAACUUUUUUUAUCAUUGAUUUGAUUAGACUUGAACAACAAUGACUGAAGGUACAUUUACUUCUGCAUUCAAAUUAAAAUUUUCUAUAUUCAGUGAUAUCAGAGCUAAUUUCUAUAUUAUUUUAUUCACUCUGUAUAGAUUUAUAAUCUUGAAAAAAAAUUGUAUAUGCCAUAUUUUAUUUUUAUUUUUGACAUGAUAUAUAAAAUGAAGAAAAAGACCUCCAUUUC